GGGAACGCGGUCCUGCGGCGCGUGUUAUACGUUGGGUGUGCGGUGUUAGUCGUAAUUCGUUGGGCUAAAGCUGGCGCAUGGGGUUGUGUAAGACCGGCGUGAAUUCCCCGGGCUUAACCUGGUAACUGAGCUUGUGUCUGCCAGGCUAGAGUACGGCAGAGGGGGGUGGAAUUCCACGUGUAGCAGUGAAAUGCGUAGAGAUGUGGAGGAACACCAAUGGCGAAGGCAGCCCCCUGGGUCGAUACUGACGCUCAUGCACGAAAGCGUGGGUAGCAAACAGGAUUAGAUACCCGAGUAGUC
This 300-nucleotide ribosomal RNA is filed under the name uncultured Staphylothermus sp. RNAcentral's name for it is "bacterial SSU rRNA". It matches the Rfam family "Bacterial small subunit ribosomal RNA", at positions 496 to 795 of the family's 1533-position model. Lineage: Archaea; Thermoproteati; Thermoproteota; Thermoprotei; Desulfurococcales; Desulfurococcaceae. The record is from RNAcentral.